Molecule: ribosomal RNA, 270 nt
Filed under: uncultured archaeon
Lineage: Archaea
Description: partial 16S ribosomal RNA
Rfam family: Archaeal small subunit ribosomal RNA
Source: RNAcentral
CAGCACCUCAAGUGGUCAGGAUGAUUAUUGGGCCCAAAGCAUCCGUAGCCGGAUCUGUAAGUUUUCGGUUAAAUCUGUACGCUUAACGUACAGGCUGCCGGGAAUACUGCAGAUCUAGGGAGUGGGAGAGGUAGACGGUACUCGGUAGGAAGGGGUAAAAUCCUUUGAUCUAUUGAUGACCACCUGUGGCGAAGGCGGUCUACCAGAACACGUCCGACGGUGAGGGAUGAAAGCUGGGGGAGCAAACCGGAUUAGAUACCCGAGUAGUCC